UACGUAGGGGGCAAGCGUUGUCCGGAAUCAUUGGGCGUAAAGAGCGUGUAGGCGGCUCGGUAAGUCUGCUGUGAAAGUCCAGGGCUCAACCCUGGAAUGCCGGUGGAAACUGUCGAGCUAGAGUCCGGAAGAGGCGAGUGGAAUUCCUGGUGUAGCGGUGAAAUGCGCAGAUAUCAGGAGGAACACCGAUGGCGAAGGCAGCUCGCUGGGCCUGCACUGACGCUCAUGCACGAAAGCGUGGGGAGCAAACAGG
Molecule: ribosomal RNA, 253 nt
Filed under: uncultured bacterium
Lineage: Bacteria
Description: partial 16S ribosomal RNA
Rfam family: Bacterial small subunit ribosomal RNA
Source: RNAcentral